UGGGGGAUAUUGCACAAUGGGCGAAAGCCUGAUGCAGCGACGCCGCGUGGGGGAUGAAGGCCUUCGGGUUGUAAACUUCUUUUGCUCUGAACAAGGCAUGCCUUUGGGGUGUGUUGAGUGUAGGGGUUGAUUAGCGCCGGCUAACUACGUGCCAGCAGCCGCGGUAAUACGUAGGGCGCGAGCGUUGUCCGGAAUUAUUGGGCGUAAAGGGCUUGUAGGUGGCUGGUUGCGUCUGUCGUGAAAGCUCAUGGCUUAACUGUGGGUUUGCGGUGGGUACGGGCUGGCUUGAGUGCAGUAGGGGAGGCUGGAAUUCCUGGUGUAGCGGUGGAAUGCGCAGAUAUCAGGAGGAAUACCGGUGGCGAAGGCGGGUCUCUGUGCUGUUACUGAAGCUGAGGAGCGAAAGCGUGGGGAGCGAACAGG
Molecule: ribosomal RNA, 420 nt
Filed under: Fusobacteriota bacterium
Lineage: Bacteria; Fusobacteriati; Fusobacteriota
Description: Fusobacteria bacterium partial 16S ribosomal RNA
Rfam family: Bacterial small subunit ribosomal RNA
Source: RNAcentral